Long non-coding RNA from Equus caballus (horse), 5100 nucleotides. The record is from Ensembl. NCBI's taxonomy places the organism in Eukaryota, Metazoa, Chordata, Mammalia, Perissodactyla, Equidae.
CCAAAGAGCUAGAAGCAAGAUGCUUUGGGGCCCAACUCGUCCUUUGUAAAGAAGCCUGCACGUUGUGCCUUUCAGCUCUAGGGCAAUGGAGCACACCCAGAGCAGAAGUUCUACUUCAGCCUGAUGAGGCCUGCAAAGAAACUGCGUUUCACAGGCCUUUGUAAGAGAUGUUCCCGGUAGGCUGUAAGAGCACUGUGCAGAGCGAGUUGUUUCUUAGCUUCCCAAAGACCUGGAAGCAAGAUGCUUUGGGGCCCAACUCGCCCUUUGGAAAGAAGCCUGCACGUUGUGACUUUCAGCUCUAGGGCAAUGUAGAACACGCAGAGCAAAAGUUCUACUUCAGCCAUAUGAGGCCUGCAAGGAAACUGCGUUUCACAGGCCUUUGUAAGAGAUGUUCCCGGUAGGCUUCAAGAGCACUGUGCAGAGCGAGUUGUUUCUUAGCUUCCCAAAGAGCUGGAAGCAAGAUGCUGUGGGGCCCAACUCGCCCUUUGGAAAGAAGCCUGCACGUUGUGCCUUUCAGCUCUAGGGCAAUGUAGCACACGCAGAGCAGAAGUUCUACUUCAGGCAGUUCAGGCCUGCAAAGAAACUGCGUUUCACAGUCCUUUGUAAGAGAUGUUCCCGGUAGGCUGUAAGAGCACUGUGCAGAGCGAGUUGUUUCUUAGCUUCCCAAACAGCUGGAAGCAAGAUGCUUUGGGGCCCAACACGCCCUUUGGAAAGAAGCCUGCACGUUGUGCCUUUCAGCUCUAGGGCAAUGGAGCACACCCAGAGCAGAAGUUCUACUUCAGGCACUUCAGGCCUGCAAAGAAACUGCGUUUCACAGGCGUUUGUAAGAGAUGUUCCCGGUAGGCUGUAAGAGCACUGUGCAGAGCGCGUUGUUUCUUAGCUUCCCAAAGAGCUGGAAGCAAGAUGCUUUGGGGCCCAACUCGCCCUUUGGAAAGAAGCCUGCACGUUGUGCCUUUCAGCUCUAGGGCAAAGUAGCACACCCAGAGCAGAAGUCCUACUUCAGCCAGAUCAGGCCUGCAAAGAAACUGCGUUUCACAGGCCUUUGGAAGAGAUGUUCCCGGUAGGCUGUAAGAGCACUGUGCAGAGCGAGUUGUUUCUUAGCUUCCGAAAGAGCUGGAAGCUGGAUGCUGUGGGGCAAGUCUGCCCUUUGGAAAGAAGGCUGCACUUUGUGCCUUUCAGCUCUAGGGCAAUGUAGCACACCCAGAGCAGAAGUUCUACUUCAGCCAGAUCAGGGCUGGGAAGAAACUGCGUUUCACAGGCCUUUGUAAGACUCGUUCCCUGUAGGCUGUAAAACACCAGUGCAGAGCAAGUUGUUUCUUAGCUGCCCAAAGAGCUGGAAGCCCCACGCUGUGGGGCCUGUCUGCCCUUGAGGACACAAGGCAGGACUUUGUGCCUUGCAUCUCUAGGCCGAUGCAGGACACAGCAUAGCAGAAGUUCCACUUCAGCGGGAUCAGGCCUGGGAAGAAACUGCGUUUCACAGGCCUUUGUAAGACAUGUUCCCGGUGGGCUGUAAAACACCAAUGCAGAGCGAGUUGUUUCCUAGCUGCACAAAGAGCUGCAAGCUGGACGAUGAGGGACUUGUCUCCCCUUUUGGAAACAAGGCAGGAUUUUGUGCCUUGCAGCUCUAGGCCCAUGUAGGACACGGCAGAGCAGAAGUUCUACUUCAGCAGGAUCAGGCCUGGGAAGAAACUGCCUUUCACAGGCCUUUGUAAGACAUGUUCCAGGGAGGAUGGAAGAGCCCUGUGCAGAGCAAGUUGUUUCUUAGCUGCCGAAAGAGCUGGAAGCUGGACGCUGAGCGACUAGUCUCCCCUUGUGGAAACAAGGCAGGACUUUGUCCCUUGCAGCUCUAGGGACAUGUAGGACACGGCAGAGCAGAAGUUCUACUUCAGCGAGAUCAGGCCUGGGAAGAAACUGCGUUUCACAGGCCUUUGUAACACUCGUUCCCUGUAGGCUGUAAAACACUAGUGCAGAGGAAGUUGUUUCUUAGCUGCCCAAAGUGCUGGAAGCCCCACGCUGUGGGGCCUAACUGCCCUUGAGGACACAAGGCAGGACUUUGUGCCUUGCAGCUCUAGGCCGAUGAAGGACACGGCAUAGCAGAAGUUCUACUUCAGAGAGAUCAGGCCUGAGAAGAAACUGCGUUUCACAGGCCUUUGUAAGACAUGUUCCAGGUAGAAUGAAAGAGCCCCGUGCAGAGCAAGUUGUUUCUUAGCUGCCCAAAGAGCUGGAAGCUGGACACUGACGGACUAGUCUCCCCUUGUGGAAACAAGGCAGGACUUUGUGCCUUGAAGGUCUAGGGCCAUGUCGGACACAGCAGAGCAGAAGUUCUACGUCAGCGAGAUCAGCCCUGGGAAGAAACUGCGCUUCACAAGCCUUUGUAAGACUCGAUCCCAGUAGGCUGCAAACCUCCAGUGCAGAGCAAGUUGUUUCUUAGCUGCCCAAAGAGCUGGAAGUCCCAAGCUGUGGGGCAUGUCUGCCCUUGAGGACACAAGGCAGGACUUUGUGCCUUGCAGCUCUAGGCCGAUGUAGGACAUGGCAUAGCAGAAGUUCUACUUCAGCGAGACAAGGCAUGGGAAGAAACUGCGUUUCACAGGCCAUUGUAAGAAAUGUUCCCGGUACCCUGUAAGAGCCCUAUGCAGAGCGAGUUGUUACUUAGCAGCACAAAGAGCUGCAAGCCCCACGCUGUGGGGCCUGUCUGCCCUUGAGGACACAAGGCCGCACUUUGUGCCUUGCAGCUCUAAGCCCAUGUAGGACACGGCAGAGCAGAAGUUCUACUUCAGCGAGAUCAGGCCUAAGAAGGAACUGCAUUUCACAGGCCUUUGUAAGACAUGUUCCCGGUAGGCUGUAAGAGCCCUAUGCAAAGUGAGUUGUUUCUUAGCUGUCCAAGGAGCUGGAAGCUGGACGCUAAGGGACUUGUCACCCCUUGUGGAAACAAGGCAGGACUUUGUGCCUUGCAGCUCUAGGCCUAUUUAGGACACGGCAGAGCAGAAGUUCUACUGCAGCGAGAUCAGGCCUGGGAAGAAACUGCGUUUCACAGGCCUUUGUAAGACAUGUUCCAGGGAGGCUGGAAGAGCCCUGUCCAGAGCAAGUUGUUUCUUAGCUGCCCAAAGAGCUGGAAGCUGGAUGCUGAGUGACUAGUCUCCCCUUGGGGAAACAAGGCAGGACUUUGUGCCUUGCAGCUCUAGGGCCAUGUAGGACAUGGCAGAGCAGAAGUUCUACGUCAGCGAGAUCAGGCCUGAGAAGUAACUGCGUUUCACAGGCCUUUGUAAGACAUGUUCCCAGUAGGCUGUAAAACACCAAUGCAGAGCGAGUUGUUACUUAGCUGCCCAAAGAGCUGGAAGCUGGACGGUGAGGGACUAGUCUCCCCUUGUGAAAACAAGGCAGGACUUUGUGCCUGGCAGCUCUCGGCCCAUGUAGGACACUGCAGAGCAGAAGUUCUACUUCAGCGACAUCAGGCCUGAGAAGAAACUGCGUUUCACAGGCCUUUGUAAGACAUGUUCCUGGUAGGCUGUAAGAGCCCUGUGCAGAGCAAGUUGCUUCUUAGCUGAUCAAAGAGCUGGAAGCUGGACGCUGAGGGUCUAGACUCCCCUUGUGGACACAAGGCAGGUCUUUGUGCCUUGAAUAUCCGGGCCCAUGUAGGACACGGCAGAGCAGAAGUUCUACUUCAGCGAGAUCAGCCCUGGGAAGAAACUGCCUUUCACAGGUCUUUGUAAGACAUGUUCCCGGUAGGCUGUAAGAGCCCUAUGCAGAGCGAGUUGUUUCUUAGCUGCCGAAAGAGCUGGAAGCUGGACGCUGAGGGACUUGUCUCCCCUUGUGGAAACAAGGCAGGACACUGUGCCAUGCAGCUCUAGGCCCAUGUAGGACCCGGCAGAGCAGAAGUUCUACUUCAGCCAGAUCAGGGCUGGGAAGAAACUGCCUUUCACAGGCCUUUGUAAGACAUGUUCCGGGUAGGCUGUAAGAGCCCUAUGCACAGCGAGUUAUUUCUUAGCUGCCGAAAGAGCUGGAAGCUGGACGCUGAGGGACUUGUCUCUCCUUGUGGAAACAAGGCAGGACUUUGUGCCUUGCAGCUCUAGGCCCAUGUAGGACAUGGCAGAGCAGAAGUUCUACUUCAGUGAGAUAAGUUCUGGGAUGAAACUGCGUUUCACAGGCCUUUGUAAGACUCGUUCCCUUUAGGCUGUAAAACACCAGUCCGGAGCAAGUUGUUUCUUAGCUGCCCAACAAGCUGGAAGGCCUUCGCUGUGGGGCCAGUCUGCACUUGAGGACAAAAGGCAGGACUUUGUGCCUUGCAGCUCUAUGCCAAUGUAGCACACCGAGAGCAGAAGGUCUGCUUUAGCCAGAUCAGGCCUGCCAAGAAACUGCAUUUCAAAGGCCUUGGUAACAGAUGUUCCAGGUAGGUUGUAAGAGCCCUGGGCAGAGCCACUUGUUUCUUAUCUUCCCAAAGAGCUGGAAGCAAGAUGCUUUGUGGCCUCUCUACGCCUUUGCAAAGAAGCCAGCACUUUAGGCAUGGCAGCUGUAUGCCAAUGUAGCACACCCAGAGCAGAAGUUCUGCUUCAGCCAGAACAGGCCUUCCAAGAAAUUGCGUUUCACAGGCCUUGGUAGCAGAUGUUCCAGGGAGGUUGUCAGAGCACUAGGCAGAGCCAGUUGUUUCUUAGCUUCCCAAAGAGCUGGAAGCAAGAUGCAUUAGGGCUUCUCUGCCCCUUUGCAAACAAGGCAGCCCUUUGGGCCUGGCAUCUCUAUGCCAAUGUAGCACACACAGAGCAGAAGUUUUUCUUCAGCCAGAUCAGGCCUGCCUAGAAACUGCGUUUCACUGGCUUCUGUAAGAGAUGUUGCCGGUAGGCUGUAAGAACACUGGGCAGAGCCAGUUGUUUCUUAGCUCCAAAAAAAGCUGGAAGCAAGAUGGUUUGGGGCCUCUCUCACCCUUUGGAAACAAUGCAGCCCUUUGUGCCUGGCAGCUCUAGGCCAAUGUAGCACACCCAGAGCAGAAGUUCUACUUCAGCCAGAUCAGGCCUGCCAACAAACUGCGUUUCACAGGCCUUGGUAACAGAUGUUCCACAUAGGCUGUACGAGCACUGGCCAGAGCCGGUUGUUUCUUAGCUUCCCAAA